CCUACGGGAGGCAGCAGUCGAGAAUCAUUCACAAUGGGGGAAACCCUGAUGGUGCGACGCCGCGUGGGUGAAUGAAGGUCUUCGGAUUGUAAACCCCUGUCAUGUGGGAGCAAAUUAAAAAGAUAGUACCACAAGAGGAAGAGACGGCUAACUCUGUGCCAGCAGCCGCGGUAAUACAGAGGUCUCAAGCGUUGUUCGGAAUCACUGGGCGUAAAGCGUGCGUAGGCGGUUUCGUAAGUCGUGUGUGAAAGGCGCGGGCUCAACCCGCGGACGGCACAUGAUACUGCGAGACUAGAGUAAUGGAGGGGGAACCGGAAUUCUCGGUGUAGCAGUGAAAUGCGUAGAUAUCGAGAGGAACACCAGUGGCGAAGGCGGCCUACUGGGCUUUAACUGACGCUGAGGCACGAAAGCAUGGGUAGCAAACAGGAUUAGAUACCCCAGUAGUC
RNAcentral lists this ribosomal RNA (446 nucleotides) under uncultured bacterium. RNAcentral describes it as "partial 16S ribosomal RNA". It matches the Rfam family "Bacterial small subunit ribosomal RNA", at positions 338 to 795 of the family's 1533-position model. The record is from RNAcentral.